Oncorhynchus kisutch (coho salmon) is the source of this 3501-nucleotide RNA transcript. It is a transcript of the gene named eukaryotic translation initiation factor 3 subunit A-like, with no coding region annotated. The record is from RefSeq and is a predicted model, not a curated record. The transcript has 10 exons. Lineage: Eukaryota; Metazoa; Chordata; Actinopteri; Salmoniformes; Salmonidae.
ACAAAGUGAAAGGAACUUUUUGUUUCACUCUUCUACUUGCCGUUCUUGCUUGAACACGUUUGUGUCGCAUUUAAUUGUUAUGUUUGUCCGAGAUUAUGUUCCUAUGAGGCUUUUGGGCUUUUUUUCCCGGGUUUACUGACCGGAACUCAGUUUUAUUUUCCUAUUACAAACAGCUUUUAGCAACAAUAUAUAAAAAACUAUAAAAAACAUGUGAAAUGAAGACGUCAGCAGCUUGUUGUUUCGGGGGAAUUAUUCUGUGCAUCGGGCUUUCAUUGAGAGCAACAGGGUCGUCUCAGAUUCAACUUGUCGGUUCAGCUGAUCCAGUCGUUGCCUUGGCUGGUGACGACGUCAUACUACCAUGUUACCUGGAACCCAACGUCAGUGCUGUGGACAUGAUGGUGGAGUGGACAAGAUCUGACCUGAAAACUCAAAGGGUCCAUCUUUACCGUGAAGGUCGAGACUCCAACGGUGAACAGCUUCCGUCCUACAGGGGAAGAACAACACUGUUUAAAGAAGAACUGAAGAACAGCAAUGUCUCCUUAAAACUGACCGGAGUUACUCUCUCUGAUGCUGGAGACUACAAGUGCUUCAUUCCAAUACUGACUAGGGAAACAACCAUUCCACUCAUAGUUGGUGCUGUAUCUCAGCCAGUGAUCUCUAUUAAUGGAACCAAAGACUGGGGGGUGGUCCUGAAGUGUGACACCGGAGGCUGGUACCCACAGCCUGAGCUUGAGUGGUUGGACAGUCAUGGAAACGUCCUCUCUGCUACUGAACCCACUGAGACAAGCAACUCAACAGAGACCGAGAUUAACCCUGAGGGUCGCUACACCGUGAGACGAUAUGUCACCAUCCGGAACACUGACAACAACAGGUUCACCUGUAGAGUUGUACAGCCGCAGAUCAACCAGACAAGGGAGACACAGAUUCAUGUCCCAGACGAUAUGUUUCCUAGCGUGUGGUGGAUUGUUGGUAUAAUAAUACCAGCUGUAGCAGCCAUUGUAGCUGUUGUUGUGCUGUUCUACUUUCGCAGAAAACAACGUCAUAAACUCAAGAAAGAAGUGAAAAAAAAUCUAGAUCUUCAGACUAAGCUGGAUACAGAGGAGCGCAUUAGACAGCAUGUAGAGGAGAAGGUGGUCGGGUUUUUGGAUGCGCGCAGGCCGAAGCUCGUUGACAAUGUUACCAAGGUGAUGCCAUUAGCAGACGCUCUGAGGCCCAUGAUCCAACAACAGGAUUACUCUGAUAUCUGUGCUGCUGGGACCAACGUGGAGAAGAUGAGGGUUCUGUUCACGGCCGUAGAUUCAGGCGGGGAAAAGGUGAAAUCAGCUUUUUACAAGAGUCUGAUGAAAGAAGAACCUGAUUUAGUCCUAGACAUACUGAAAGAAGAACCUGAUCGAGUCAUAAACCUACUGGGUGAAGAGCUGGAUAUAUAUCCAAAAACAGAUGUUGUUGAUGAUGAUCCACCUGAUGAGUCUGGGAGUAACAGAGUUGAAAUGAUAGAGAUGCAACCUUUACUGGGUCCUGGAUCAGAGACGGAGAGAGGAGGAAGACAGGCUGUUGAUGCUCUAGAAGACCAGGAGAGAGAGGAGGGAAGACAGGCUGUUGAUGCUCUAGAAGAUCAGGAGAGAGAGGAGGGAAGACAGGCUGUUGAUGCUCUAGAAGACCAGGAGAGAGAGGAGGGAAGACAGGCUGUUGAUGCUCUAGAAGAUCAGGAGAGAGAGGAGGGAAGACAGGCUGUUGAUGCUCUAGAAGAUCAGAAGAGAGAGGAGGAAAGACAGGCUGUUGAUGCUCUAGAAGAUCAGGAGAGAGAGGAGGGAAGACAGGCUGUUGAUGCUCUAGAAGAUCAGGAGAGAGAGGAGGGAAGACAGGCUGUUGAUGCUCUAGAAGAUCAGGAGAGAGAGGAGGAAAGACAGGCUGUUGAUGCUCUAGAAGACCAGGAGAGAGAGGAGGGAAGACAGGCUGUUGACGCUCUAGAAGACCAGGAGAGAGGAGGAGGAAGACAGGCUGUUUAUGCUCUAGAAGACCAGGAGAGAGAGGAGGGAAGACAGGAUGUUGAUGCUCUAGAAGAUCAGGAGAGAGGAGGGAAGACAGGAUGUUGAUGCUCUAGAAGAUCAGGAGAGAGAGGAGGGAAGACAGGCUGUUGAUGCUCUAGUAGACCAGGAGAGAGAGGAGGGAAGACAGGCUGUUGAUGCUCUAGAAGACCAGGAGAGAGAGGAGGAAGACAGGCUGUUGAUGCUCUAGAAGACCAGGAGAGAGAGGAGGGAAGACAGGCUGUUGAUGCUCUAGAAGAUCAGGAGAGAGGAGGGAAGACAGGCUGUUGAUGCUCUAGAAGAUCAUGCUCUAUAGUAUAGCAGGAAGAGACACGGGGGCAUUAUGAAACGUUAUAGUAUAGCAGGAAGAGACACGGGGGCAUUAUGAAACGUUAUAGUAUAGCAGGAAGGUCGAUAGAGACACGGGGGCAUUAUGAAACGUUAUAGUAUAGCAGGAAGGUAGAUAGAGACACGGGGGCAUUAUGAAACGUUAUAGUAUAGCAGGAAGAGACACGGGGGCAUUAUGAAACAUUAUAGUAUAGCAGGAAGGUAGAUAGAGACACGGGGGCAUUAUGAAACGUUAUAGUAUAGCAGGAAGGUAGAUAGAGACACGGGGACAUUAUGAAACGUUAUAGUAUAGCAGGAAGAGACACGGGGGCAUUAUGAAACGUUAUAGUAUAGCAGGAAGAGACACGGGGGCAUUAUGAAACGUUAUAGUAUAGCAGGAAGAGACACGGGGGCAUUAUGAAACGUUAUAGUAUAGCAGGAAGAGACACGGGGGCAUUAUGAAACGUUAUAGUAUAGCAGGAAGAGACACGGGGCAUUAUGAAACGUUAUAGUAUAGCAGGAAGGUAGAUAGGGACACGGGGGCAUUAAAUGUUUGGAGGCUGCAUCCAGGCUGUAAAGCAGGAAGGUAGAAAGAGACAUCUUGGCAAAUCCAGUCCCACUACUUUGUUUCCAUUUCAAUCAGGGACCGAUUUAGACCUAUCACAACAACGUGGGUUAAUUAUCAGGUUGAACAGAAAUCCAGCCGGACUCAUUUGUAUUUAUUUUUAUUUAACCUUUAUUUAACCUGGGUUAGAGUUGAAUACUACAGCAGUAGUCUAUAUAUAUAUAGCGUGUCAGUGAUUGGACACCAAGUUGAUUGACAAACUGAUUAGUUAAGACUCUGGAAUCCGUUUUCAGUACAGUAAUGUACAAUGUUUAGUUUGUCAGACUGUUUACUGGGCCAUGUUUGUAUCAUGUGGAUGUUGUUUAGUUUGUCAGACUGUUUAUAUCAUGUGGAUGUUGUUUAGUUUGUCAGACUGUCUACUGGAUCAUGUUUGUAUCAUGUGGAUGUUGUUUAGUUUGUCAGACUGUUUACUGGACCAUGUUUGUAUCAUGUGGAUGUUGUUUAGUUUGUUAAUGAAUACACUUGAAUAAAAAUGCUAUACAUAUUUCAGGAUUAAAAAAACUUGUGCUAAAUGACUGUAUU